RNAcentral lists this transfer RNA (102 nucleotides) under Latescibacteria bacterium DG_63. RNAcentral describes it as "tRNA-Arg". It matches the Rfam family "tRNA". Rfam says of the family: Transfer RNA (tRNA) molecules are approximately 80 nucleotides in length. Their secondary structure includes four short double-helical elements and three loops (D, anti-codon, and T loops). Lineage: Bacteria; Pseudomonadati; Candidatus Latescibacterota. The record is from RNAcentral.
GGGCCCGUGGCCCAGCCAGGAUGAAGGCGCCGAGCCCUAACGAAAGGGCGCGCACGCCUCCGGAGCCGGAGAUCCUGGGUUCAAAUCCCAGCGGGCCCGCCA